UGUGCGUGUGAGAGUGUGUGUGUGUGUGCGCUUGUGCGUGUGUGAGAGUGUUGUUGCUCGUGUUGUGCAAUUUACCCGUGCAUGGCAGCCAAAGUGAUAAGGGCGAUGUAUAAGGGCAAUAAAUGAUUGGGAGAUGAACUGUUGUUUCCCAACACGCUAAACCUAGGUCACAGUCGUUACUUCCUUGUUGCUACGAGAAAAAAAACCGUCAAGUGAUCUUGGUCCCUUUGAACUGG
Anguilla rostrata (American eel) is the source of this 236-nucleotide long non-coding RNA. RefSeq lists it as uncharacterized. The record is from RefSeq and is a predicted model, not a curated record. The transcript has 2 exons. NCBI's taxonomy places the organism in Eukaryota, Metazoa, Chordata, Actinopteri, Anguilliformes, Anguillidae.